GACCAACAUUAGAUAACUGGUAACACCAUAUACGCGCACAAAGAAUAUGAUGUUGUGAACAUAUUCAGUUUUCAACAACACGUUAUCUGCGUCAUUAACAGUGUAAAUGUUGUAGGAAAUAUAAUACUAUAUAGGAAAUUAUAUACUACUGGACUGGAAUGUUAGCUUCCCAAAUGCCUUAUUUAGUUUGUAUACUUUCGAACUAAAGGAUAUUUCAAGUGAAUGAAUAUAUAGGGUAUACAUGGUUACAAUUACAGAUCUCGGGGCCAGCAAUACAAGCGAGGUUGUGGACUUUGCAACAAACCUUACGGACACAUUUGAUUACGUUCAAGUGCGAUCAAGGGGGAUACAACUCGAAGAGGCUCUUAUACUCUUUGUAGUUGUCGGACUUUGGGCAUGCGCAAUGGUGCUAUUUGUGAAGCAGUGGGAUAAUAUUCGUAUUUUACAACCUCAGGAAACUCGUUAUAAACACAGUCCAAAGAAUUUGCACACAAUAAAAAUUGUGAAAAAGGCUCAAGAUAGUGUAAUAUAUAAAAAUUAUAGUCGGAAAAUGUCGUUGACAAUGGUAGAAAGAGAGAAGAAGCUUUUACGGAUGAAUACAGUUCCGAUCAUGGAAAACGUGCAUUCACUGCAGACUAUAAACUCAUUCAAAAAACUUUCCACUAUAGAAAUGGAAGAAGGGAUUCAAGAGGAAUCGGACAAUGUUGACGUAGGCUCAAAUGUGUGACGUAAUUAAUGACGUCAUAUUUUUGUAUAUACGACACUGCCACAAAGUGUGAAAAUUUUCUGUGAUAUGUUUCCUGAUACAUACAAGUGUUAAUUAUUCCAUAAUCAUAAAAUAGUAGAAGUAUUAUUUAGAUGGGAAUGUAACGUAGAUGGGUCGGUGUUAUGUAUAAUUUAUUAUUUCAUCCCUUUUCUCAAAAACAAUAUCUUCGGUAUAUAUUUUUACAAUGUUACUGACAUUUAAGAAAACGACACAUUUUGUGUACAUAUUUCAUAGUUCUAAGUUCCUAUACGGCAUGUGUCUAUAAAUCAGUCUAUAAUACACUUUUGCUUUUAAAAUCAUAUGUUUUACAAACAAAUUUGAUGUCAUUACUAAUGAAUUGUACCUAAUUUCUGAACGAAAACAUGUGUAUCAUUUUAUAUACUAGGGAGUUUACCAUAAUACUUUUUAAGGAUGCAAACCAUGGCUAAAUAUAUCUUCUGAAGUUACGUAACGUAACAUUUUUGAAAAUAUGAAAAUAUAUAUGUAUUUCUGCGAAAAAGCCAAUGUGUGAUUUGUGGCAAAAUAUGAAAAAGGCAUUUAUGAGCAUCUCUAGUCCAUAAUGCUACUGAACAAAUAUAAAUUUGUGUCAAGGAAAAGUGUGAUUACGGACAUCAACUACAAAUUAUUUUUACUAAAAAACAAUAAACAACAUGUUAGCGUUCAAUUUUAAAUCCAAUUUUAAAUCAGCCAAACUGUAUUACAUACGAGACACAGUUUUGAAUAAUUGCGUAAAAGUAAGACGCUGAUAGGAAACAUUGAACGGUUGGUUAUACACUGUCAGCCAAAAAGUCGCGAAGUAGCAGUGACUUUAGCUGUUUAAGACAUAUAUAUUUUCGCAUUAACGUCUAACUUACUACUCUUCGUAAGCAUGCCUCCUGAUAAAUAAUCAAAUAACGUUUAAACAAAUGGUUGAACAAAUCAUCAUCGAGGCCAAUUUAUGCGAAACAGACUUGUAGAUUUUUUUUUUUUUGAAAAUUUAGACGUUCGCAUUGGACAGAAAACGAGGACAAAGUCUACACAAAUUGAAAACUAAUUUCCUGCCUGCUAUAUAUUAGUCGAUAAAGUACAGAACGAAUGCCUUAAUUAGCGCGUGCUUAAAAAUACAUUUACAGUUAUUGCAUGCCCUGACAGAAAAGGGAAAUGCAAGCAAUUAAAAGUACAUUUGUUUAUCAUGUAGGCCUUUGCAAUUUAUUUGCUCAACGUAGGAAUCUGUUACGUGAUCAGACCAUGUCAAUGCAUAAUAAUUUCUGUUAUUAUCUUUAAGUUAGCAAUUGUUCCUGCUACAUAAGUGGUGUAGCAACAUUAAAACCAUAUUAAAUACGCCCUGGGGAUGGUAAUUGAAUAGACCAAUUUGUGUAGUGAAAAUUAUGUUGGUGUAUAGAAUAUACCAAAUGCUGUAUUGAUCAUUAAAGAUUGACUUUAUAAAAAAAAACGGUAUGGUAAAAAUUGAAAUGUCAAAUGCAUUAGUUUAUUACAAUAUCCCCAUUAGACAACACCAGUCGCGUAUGUAUAAAUGUCAGGGUAUCAAAAGCAAAUUUUACGGAACGUUAAAGGCUACAUAAUUCAAAUUUAUUUUGUCGCAUGGAAUUUGUAGGUUGUUUUUUUAGUAUAACAACUGUUUAAACGAAUUUAACUGUUUAAAUCUAUAUUAAUUUCCAUUUGAAUGGAAUUUUAUUUCGUUUAAACUAAUUAACUUUCUCUUUAAACGAAAUAAUUAAUUAGAUUUCAUGAGAUAAAUGGUUUGUUUAAACGAAUUUGUCUAUUCCUUUGAUACAUACUCAUGUCAAAUUGAGGAGCAAUGAUUGACUAUCUAGUAUGCUUAUCAACAUUGAUUGGACAAUGAAAUGUGUUUUGCAGUGACAUAUUAGUUCUUAAACCUCGACAGGACAUUUCAUUUCUUACUACUAAUAUAUACCACAUUUAUUGCUCAAAACGUCGCAUGAUUCUCUUUCCUUACAGAAGUAUAUUAUUAGAUAUUACGAUUACACAUUAUGCCUCAGAAAUCCAUAUUAAUUUUAUAAAGUUCUUUAGAAAUGUUUAACAUGUGUUAAAUAAUGUUUCAAUAAUAGAUUUAGAGCAUGUUUUACAGGCAGGUUGAAUAUGCAGUAAUGUGCCGUAAAGGUAGAAAAAUGUUAACGGCGUAGUAUUUUUGGCUUCCAUACACAUUCACUGUUAUAAUUAUACUAAUUGCCAACAAUGCAAAAGGAGCAAAGAUUGUUCAAAUACAUAGCAAAUCAGUAUUUUCUUAAUACAGUAACAGGAUACCAAAAAUAAAAAGGUUUUGAGAAAUGGAAUAGAAUUUCUGAGGCAUAAUGGGCCAUAAAGUAAACUUUAACAGGCACGUGUGCAAAACGUUCUUCUGUUCUACACAUUAAAAGAAAUAAGUCAUUUUGAUUUGUUUUGUUAUUUAUAGGAAAUGAUUUGUAUUAAAUAUCUUAGACUGUACAUAAUGUAUUAUAUAUAUUUUUAUUAACGUUUAAACUUGGUUUAUGUAUUAAUUCAAAUUUUUUAGCAAUUUGAUUUUGGGUUCUGUAAGUUAAGGUUUUUACAUAUAUCAUGCUCAAAAAUUCUACAAAAAAUUCCCAAAAUAAAAUUUGUAAAUAUUACUGAAAUGAUGCCUUAUUGUUUUCAUACAAUUAGUAGAACUCUUUAUUAAGCUUCUAUUAAAAGAAUUUUACAAAGUACAUAUAUUACAAUAAUUAUAGUCACGUGGUACUUGCAAAUGGUAAUAAAAUAUUGAAAACAUAUGAUCGAAAUAAUAUCAAUGUUCUUAAUUUUAGUUCGUUCAUUGAAUUAUUUAAUUUAUAAAGAAUCAUUUAGAAAUUGUUGGAUUCAAAAUAUUGUUUAGAUUUAAGUUUAAAUUCUUUGUUAUUAAAACGGUGUUAAUUUAAAAUUCAAAGAAAUUAAGUUUUACAAUUUGACUUCGAACAUUAAUUUAAAUUGAAUCUUUCGUAAUAUUAUAUGAUUGUUGUACCAGUGCUAAAGAGCAGAUAUUUUGAAUAUUGAAUGAUGUAUUAUAUAAUGUAUUGAAUUAUUGUAUAAUGUUGUACGUUAAUUAUAUGAUGGUGCGACCAUGUGUAUUAACCUUCUAUUGUUUUGUGUACUGUUAAUGUCACUAAACUGUCAUCAUCUUAGCAACACUUUUCGAAGUAAAAGUGGGGCAAUUAUCAUUACCCACUUUGCGUCGCAAGUAGCGCCGGAGCGGGCGUUGGUUUACCGUUUUGUUUAAGUUUAUGGCAGAAUGUCAGAAUGUUUCUUGCCGCACGAAAUCGUGCUUGGUUCAAACAAGUAUCAUAUUCAAAAUAACGAUUUUUUCAUGUAUAGCUUGCCCAAUUGCAAACCCUCACUUUGCCAAAAUGUUUUAAACCGUCUAUUUACAGUUAACCGGAUUUCGAGAGAAAAAAUUAUCAACAAAAGCCUGAAGCUUAAUGACCAAUUGUGUCUCAGAAAUGAUUUUAUUUUUAUUUCUCAAAAGUAUUUUUUAUUUGGUGAACUUUAUAGUAUUCAAAAAGAUACUCAUUGGCCAAUUACCCUGAACCAUCUGUUUCAUCUGUUGGUUAUCGUGAUCAGUAAGUGAAUAAGUAUUUUGUACUGAAGUUUACAUUUUGCUACUUUUAUGACAUAUUAUUUCACAUGCAUUACUACUUUCUUCUGUAACAAGCUUCUACAUUUUCUAAAAUCAUUAUGUUAACAUUAAGUUAACAUUACAAAAUUUAUUUUUGCCCUUUUCUAAAGAAGUAAAAAUGUAUUUGUUUCUGAGGCAUAAUGUGCCUUUGAGUAGGGUCAAACUGCUGGAAUGCUCAGACUGGCUUGACACUAGUCUUUUUGUUCAUAAUUUUCCUUACCGCUGAAAUUAUUGAAUUUGAUAAUUAAACAUAUAUUUGAAUUACUUACAUCAUGUACCUUAUAAAGUAAUGAAAAAAAUAAAAAGUGAUUUUUAAGAUGACAUAAUUUGCCUUAUACAAACAAAGUGUAAUAAUUUUAUUGUAAGCUAAUUUUAGCGUUAUACCAUAUUGGUGUCUAUGGAAAUAUAAUAACGAUUCUCAAUUAUGGCAUGAAAAAAUAAAGUUAUAAUUUUAUUAUAUCUGAGAAGCUUCAUAGCUAAAUUAACUGAACUCGUUGAAUAAAACAAACAUAACUUUACUUUACUUGUAAAAUAAAUUCAGUAUUGAACCCACAUUUAACCAAUAUCCUCUUUUUAAUUCAUCUAUUUAAAAGAAGUAUUCGCAAAGUAAUUCUUAUUUUACACAUAGGUUAUAGAAUUAGAAUUCAUAAAAUGUCAACCGCCUUACUAACAGUUUCAAUGUUUUUACGAAAAUGAAGGCGAUUUCUUUGAAAUUGUUUUUGUUUUGAAGUUUUGUUUGUUUGUUUGUAUCAUUUUACGCCUUUUCCCCAACAGUAUUUCAGUCAUAUAGGCGGGUAGUUUCCUAACCAUCGUUCCUGGAGAGUUACACCAGUACUAGACUACCUUCCUCCGCGCUAAACUACCAAAGCAUCUCCCGGGGAUCGAACCCACGCCAGAGAGGUAACUGGAUUAGAAGUCAUCGACUCUAACCCCUCGACCACGGAGGCGGUUUGAAGUUUUGUAAUAUGUGAUGAAAAUUGUCACCAAUAAUGUGGAUGAGAUGUGUAAAACAAGUUCAAUGAUGGGAAUAUAUUCCUAUAUCAUUAAACAUAUGUUUAUAUGUUUACUGUAAAACAAAUAUCAUUUUCCUUUAAUAUGUAAAUAUAUGUACACAAUUAUGAUGAAAUGGGUCAUGUAUUAUGAUAAAUAACAUCACAAUCUUCUUUAUAUUAUAUGUACAAUAUGCUAAAAGAUAAAAAAUUAAAUACAUCUAUUAUUUACA
Long non-coding RNA from Ruditapes philippinarum (Manila clam), 5613 nucleotides. RefSeq lists it as uncharacterized. Lineage: Eukaryota; Metazoa; Mollusca; Bivalvia; Venerida; Veneridae. The record is from RefSeq and is a predicted model, not a curated record. The transcript has 3 exons.